UAAUACGAGGGGGGCGAGCGUUGUUCGGAAUUAUUGGGCGUAAAGGGUGCGUAGGCGGUUCGGUAAGUUUUGUGUGAAAUCUUCGGGCUCAACUCGAAGCCUGCAUAAAAUACUGCCGGGCUUGAGUGUGGGAGAGGUGAGUGGAAUUUCCGGUGUAGCGGUGAAAUGCGUAGAUAUCGGAAGGAACACCUGUGGCGAAAGCGGCUCACUGGACCACAACUGACGCUGAUGCACGAAAGCUAGGGGAGCAAACAGGAUUAGAUACCCUGGUAGUCCUAGCCCUAAACGAUGAUCGCUUGGUGUGACGGGUACCCAAUCCCGCUGUGCCGUAGCUAACGCGUUAAGCGAUCCGCCUGGGGAGUACGGUCGCAAGGCUG
Molecule: ribosomal RNA, 377 nt
Filed under: uncultured bacterium
Lineage: Bacteria
Description: bacterial SSU rRNA
Rfam family: Bacterial small subunit ribosomal RNA
Source: RNAcentral